GGGGCCGUGGCGCAGCUGGUAGCGCACCUCCAUGGCAUGGAGGGGGUCAGGGGUUCGAGUCCCCUCGGCUCCA
This 73-nucleotide transfer RNA is filed under the name Natronosporangium hydrolyticum. It matches the Rfam family "tRNA". Rfam says of the family: Transfer RNA (tRNA) molecules are approximately 80 nucleotides in length. Their secondary structure includes four short double-helical elements and three loops (D, anti-codon, and T loops). Lineage: Bacteria; Bacillati; Actinomycetota; Actinomycetes; Micromonosporales; Micromonosporaceae. The record is from Rfam by way of RNAcentral. RNAcentral also lists the same sequence under 1 other name.